Molecule: non-coding RNA, 147 nt
Organism: Gossypium hirsutum (cotton)
Lineage: Eukaryota; Viridiplantae; Streptophyta; Magnoliopsida; Malvales; Malvaceae
Source: Rfam
UAAAAAAAUUUAGUCAUUUCUACUGUUGAAAACUGGUAUGGCUAACAAAAUAAUCGAAUAGUGACACGUGAUGUGCCAUGUGUACCUCAUGCUAACAUAUAAGGACCAAUUGUUAGCAGUAGAAUUGAAGGACCAAUUUAAUUUUUA